RNAcentral lists this non-coding RNA (38 nucleotides) under Finegoldia magna. RNAcentral describes it as "Selenocysteine insertion sequence 4". It matches the Rfam family "Selenocysteine insertion sequence 4". Lineage: Bacteria; Bacillati; Bacillota; Tissierellia; Tissierellales; Peptoniphilaceae. RNAcentral also lists the same sequence under 3 other names. The record is from RNAcentral.
GGUACUUGUACACGUUGCGGUGCAACGAUAGUAAAAGA